UUUUUGUUGUUGUUGUUGUUAUUGUUGCUAUUUCUUGGGCCGCUCCCGCGGCAUAUGGAGGUUCCCAGGCUAGGGGUUGAAUCGGAGCUGUAGCCACCGGCCUACGCCAGAGCCACAGCAACGCGGGAUCCGAGCCGCGUCUGCAACCUACACCACAGCUCACGGCAACGACGGAUCGUUAACCCACUGAGCAAGGGAAGGGAUCGAACCCGCAACCUCAUGGUUCCUAGUCGGAUUCGUUAACCACUGCGCCACGACGGGAACUCCCCCUGCAAUUUUUGACCUUUCAAGAACAUUCAGUCCAGGUCCCUCAUUUACAGAAAGGGAAACUUGCCCAGAGUCCACUGCUAAUUAGAGGUAUAAAUGAAACUCUGCAAGGGUAGGAAUUAACAAUGUUUCCAAUGUCUAUCUAGCACAAUGCCUAGCACAUAGAAGAUAUUCAAUAGAUAAUUGUUGGAUAAAUAGAUGACCUAGCAGGAGCUAAGAAUGCUCUUCUGAGUUUCCUGCCCAGUCUUUCCAGGGCACUAUAGCCAAGCCAUAAGACUAGUUUGUAGCAACACACUAAAUGGGAAAUAAGGAUGUGGGAGCCCAUGCUUGGAGAUGGGCAUCUCCAGGGCUGAGUUGAUCUCUUGACAGUUGUGGAUAUUAGGAUGAAAUUACAAUGAGAAUCUUCCAGAUGCAUCCUGGCUUAUCACUGUACUGCUAUUUUCUAACCUCUAAUUUCUAGUCAAUCACUCCAGGAGCCAGAUUCUCCUGGAUGUCUGAACCACUCCAUCUCUUCCAUGUGACCAUAGUAGUAGCAACUGCUUCUUAAGGUCACUGGAAUAAGGCAUGGCCCAGGGCACUAGAAGGAACUUAAUGAAAUGUAAACUUUCAAACUUAAACCACUUAUAACAACUUUUUUUUUAAAUUUUUGAAGAGGAAAAAGCAAGGAAUAGAGAAUGACAAAUUCCAAAGUUGAAAAUGGUUACUGAACUUUCCAGAUUUUCCCUACUAGUAGAUAUGUGAAGUUAAAACUUCUCUGAUUCGAAAUGCAAAUCAAAAUUACAAUGAGGUA
RNAcentral lists this long non-coding RNA (1057 nucleotides) under Sus scrofa (pig). RNAcentral's name for it is "lncRNA (ENSSSCG00050043228.1)". Lineage: Eukaryota; Metazoa; Chordata; Mammalia; Artiodactyla; Suidae. The record is from RNAcentral.